GCCCCCGUGGCGGAAUUGGUAGACGUAGUAGAUUUAGGAUCUACCGCUUAACGGUGUGUCGGUUCGAGUCCGGCUGGGGGUA
This 82-nucleotide transfer RNA is filed under the name Trebouxia aggregata. RNAcentral describes it as "tRNA-Leu". It matches the Rfam family "tRNA". From Rfam's summary of the family: Transfer RNA (tRNA) molecules are approximately 80 nucleotides in length. Their secondary structure includes four short double-helical elements and three loops (D, anti-codon, and T loops). Further hydrogen bonds mediate the characteristic L-shaped molecular structure. tRNAs have two regions of fundamental functional importance: the anti-codon, which is responsible for specific mRNA codon recognition, and the 3' end, to which the tRNAs corresponding amino acid is attached (by aminoacyl-tRNA synthetases). tRNAs cope with the degeneracy of the genetic code in two manners: having more than one tRNA (with a specific anti-codon) for a particular amino acid; and 'wobble' base-pairing, i.e. permitting non-standard base-pairing at the 3rd anti-codon position. Lineage: Eukaryota; Viridiplantae; Chlorophyta; Trebouxiophyceae; Trebouxiales; Trebouxiaceae. The record is from RNAcentral. RNAcentral also lists the same sequence under 1 other name.